GAUGAACGCUGGCGGCGUGCCUAAUACAUGCAAGUCGAGCGAACAGAUGAGGAUCUUGCUCCUCUGACGUUAGCGGCGGACGGGUGAGUAACACGUGGAUAACCUACCUAUAAGACUGGGAUAACUUCGGGAAACCGGAGCUAAUACCGGAUAAUAUAUUGAACCGCAUGGUUCAAUAGUGAAAGACGGUUUUGCUGUCACUUAUAGAUGGAUCCGCGCCGCAUUAGCUAGUUGGUAAGGUAACGGCUUACCAAGGCAACGAUGCGUAGCCGACCUGAGAGGGUGAUCGGCCACACUGGAACUGAGACACGGUCCAGACUCCUACGGGAGGCAGCAGUAGGGAAUCUUCCGCAAUGGGCGAAAGCCUGACGGAGCAACGCCGCGUGAGUGAUGAAGGUCUUCGGAUCGGAAAACUCUGUUAUUAGGGAAGAACAAAUGUGUAAGUAACUAUGCACGUCUUGACGGUACCUGAUCAGAAAGCCACGGCUAACUACGUG
RNAcentral lists this ribosomal RNA (497 nucleotides) under uncultured bacterium. RNAcentral's name for it is "partial 16S ribosomal RNA". It matches the Rfam family "Bacterial small subunit ribosomal RNA", at positions 28 to 507 of the family's 1533-position model. The record is from RNAcentral.